CUGGCUCCCUGUGGAGUAUCUUUACUCUGUGCUAUCUGUAACAUUUUUUUGGUGGUUUUUUUUUUUUUUUUUCAGUGAAGGCAACGUGGUUAUUCUUGAGAAAUACCUCAUUGCCCUGGCCUUGUGCCUAAAUGCCUUUGAGGAACCGGGCCUUCUGCACGUGCAGAGGGAGCUUCUGUAAUAAGGAGUCACCAGGAGCCCUCGCCAGUCUGCGGUGUUCUGUUCUGAUUUAGAGGCACCUAAAGAGGUAAUGAGGGUAAUGCAAGAGAGCCAACGUGGUUAAACUUACUAAGGAAAGAAAAACCCCAAAAAGCCAAAUAAACAUGCAUGGAACAUCAUUUCCCAUAUUCAAAACAGAUUCCUCUAUCACUGUGAAUUCCAUCAUGCACAGCAGACAGCUGUGGCAAGGAUUUUCUGCACCAAGGUCACAUCGCUUCCUCACAAGUGCACUGACUGGCUCCCCAGCUGCAAACCAUCUGUGCUGCCCGCUCCCAAACCUGGAGGUGAUAAAAAUGGA
Molecule: long non-coding RNA, 517 nt
Filed under: Calidris pugnax (ruff)
Lineage: Eukaryota; Metazoa; Chordata; Aves; Charadriiformes; Scolopacidae
Description: lncRNA (ENSCPUG00000007646.1)
Source: RNAcentral